GGUCAAGCGAAUAAGUGCAUGUGGUGGAUGCCUUGGCGAUCACAGGCGAUGAAGGACGUAGUAGCUUGCGAAAAGCUGCGGGGAGCUGGCAAACGAGCUUUGAUCCGCAGAUGUCCGAAUGGGGAAACCCGGCCCGUAUGGGUCAUCCCUUGCUGAAUACAUAGGCAAGGGAGGCGAACGCAGUGAACUGAAACAUCUAAGUAGCUGCAGGAAAAGAAAUCAACCGAGAUUCCCAGAGUAGUGGCGAGCGAAAUGGGAACAGCCUUGUACUCUUUAGCAGUAUUGUUAGCGGAACGGAAUGGAAAGUCCGGCCAUAGUGGGUGAUAGCCCCGUACGCGAAAACAGUAUUGUGGAACUAGGUGUACGACAAGUAGGGCGGGACACGUGAAAUCCUGUCUGAAGAUGGGGGGACCAUCCUCCAAGGCUAAAUACUCGUGANNNNNNNNNNNNNNNNNNNNNNNNNNNNNNNNNNNNNNNNNNNNNNNNNNNNNNNNNNNNNNNNNNNNNNNNNNNNNNNNNNNNNNNNNNNNNNNNNNNUCGACCGAUAGUGAACCAGUACCGUGAGGGAAAGGCGAAAAGAACCCCGGGAGGGGAGUGAAAUAGAUCCUGAAACCGCAUGCAUACAAACAGUCGGAGCCUGGAAACGGGUGACGGCGUACCUUUUGUAUAAUGGGUCAGCGACUUACAUUCAGUGGCAAGCUUAACCGAUUAGGGAAGGCGUAGCGAAAGCGAGUCCGAAUAGGGCGUUCAGUCGCUGGGUGUAGACCCGAAACCAAGUGAUCUAUCCAUGGCCAGGUUGAAGGUGCGGUAACACGUACUGGAGGACCGAACCCACUAACGUUGAAAAGUUAGGGGAUGAGCUGUGGAUAGGGGUGAAAGGCUAAACAAACUUGGAAAUAGCUGGUUCUCUCCGAAAACUAUUUAGGUAGUGCCUCGUGUCUCACCUUCGGGGGUAGAGCACUGUCAUGGUUGGGGGGUCUAUUGCUGAUUACCCCGCCAUAGCAAACUCCGAAUACCGAAGAGUGCAAUCACGGGAGACAGACAUCGGGUGCUAACGUCCGGUGUCAAGAGGGAAACAACCCAGACCGCCAGCUAAGGUCCCUAAGAUUGGCUAAGUGGGAAACGAAGUGGGAAGGCUAAAACAGUCAGGAGGUUGGCUUAGAAGCAGCCACCCUUUAAAGAAAGCGUAAUAGCUCACUGAUCGAGUCGUCCUGCGCGGAAGAUGUAACGGGGCUAAGCCAGUCACCGAAGCUGCGGAUGCACGUAAGUGCAUGGUAGGAGAGCGUUCUGUAAGCCUGUGAAGGUGUCUUGUAAAGGAUGCUGGAGGUAUCAGAAGUGCGAAUGCUGACAUGAGUAGCGAUAAAGGGGGUGAAAGGCCCCCUCGCCGUAAGCCCAAGGUUUCCUACGCAACGUUCAUCGGCGUAGGGUGAGUCGGCCCCUAAGGCGAGGCAGAGAUGCGUAGCUGAUGGGAAGCAGGUUAAUAUUCCUGCACCGUCGUAUGAUGCGAUGGGGGGACGGAUCGCGGAAGGUUGUCCGGGUGUUGGAAGUCCCGGUCCCUACAUUGGAGAUGGCACUUAGGCAAAUCCGGGUGCGUGAUUCAAGGGUGUGGGGCGAGCGACGUUAGGUCGCGAAGCAAUUGGAAGUGGUUCCAAGAAAAGCCUCUAAGCUUCAGUCAUACGAGACCGUACCGCAAACCGACACAGGUGGGCGAGAUGAGUAUUCUAAGGCGCUUGAGAGAACUCGGGAGAAGGAACUCGGCAAAUUGGUACCGUAACUUCGGGAUAAGGUACGCCCUUGUAGUUUGACUGGCUCGCGCCAGAAGGAUGAAGGGGUUGCAAUAAAAUGGUGGCUGCGACUGUUUAAUAAAAACACAGCACUCUGCAAACACGAAAGUGGACGUAUAGGGUGUGACGCCUGCCCGGUGCCGGAAGAUUAAAUGAUGGGGUGCAAGCUCUUGAUUGAAGUCCCGGUAAACGGCGGCCGUAACUAUAACGGUCCUAAGGUAGCGAAAUUCCUUGUCGGGUAAGUUCCGACCUGCACGAAUGGCGUAACGAUGGCCACACUGUCUCCUCCCGAGACUCAGCGAAGUUGAAGUGUUUGUGAUGAUGCAAUCUCCCCGCGGCUAGACGGAAAGACCCCAUGAACCUUUACUGUAGCUUUGCAUUGGACUUUGAACCGAUCUGUGUAGGAUAGGUGGGAGGCUUUGAAACCGGGACGCUAGUUUCGGUGGAGCCGACCUUGAAAUACCACCCUGGUUUGUUUGAGGUUCUAACCUUGGCCCGUGAAUCCGGGUCGGGGACAGUGCAUGGUAGGCAGUUUGACUGGGGCGGUCUCCUCCCAAAGUGUAACGGAGGAGUUCGAAGGUACGCUUGGUACGGUCGGACAUCGUACCUAAAGUGCAAUGGCAAAAGCGUGCUUAACUGCGAGACCGACAAGUCGAGCAGGUGCGAAAGCAGGACAUAGUGAUCCGGUGGUUCUGUAUGGAAGGGCCAUCGCUCAACGGAUAAAAGGUACUCUGGGGAUAACAGGCUGAUACCGCCCAAGAGUUCAUAUCGACGGCGGUGUUUGGCACCUCGAUGUCGGCUCAUCUCAUCCUGGGGCUGUAGCCGGUCCCAAGGGUAUGGCUGUUCGCCAUUUAAAGAGGUACGUGAGCUGGGUUUAAAACGUCGUGAGACAGUUUGGUCCCUAUCUGCCGUGGGCGUUGGAAUCUUGACGGGGGCUGCUCCUAGUACGAGAGGACCGGAGUGGACGUACCGCUGGUGUACCUGUUGUCUCGCCAGAGGCAUCGCAGGGUAGCUAUGUACGGAAGAGAUAACCGCUGAAAGCAUCUAAGCGGGAAACUCGCCUGAAGAUGAGGAUUCCCUGGAGACUUGAUCUCCCUGAAGGGUCGUUCGAGACCAGGACGUUGAUAGGCUGGGUGUGGAAGCGCAGUAAUGCGUUCAGCUAACCAGUACUAAUUGCCCGUGCGGCUUGAUCCU
RNAcentral lists this ribosomal RNA (2978 nucleotides) under Ralstonia pseudosolanacearum. Its description in RNAcentral is "23S ribosomal RNA". It matches the Rfam family "Bacterial large subunit ribosomal RNA". Lineage: Bacteria; Pseudomonadati; Pseudomonadota; Betaproteobacteria; Burkholderiales; Burkholderiaceae. The record is from RNAcentral.